Molecule: ribosomal RNA, 292 nt
Filed under: uncultured bacterium
Lineage: Bacteria
Description: partial 16S ribosomal RNA
Rfam family: Bacterial small subunit ribosomal RNA
Source: RNAcentral
GUGUCAGCAGCCGCGGUAAUACAGAGGGUGCAAGCGUUGUUCGGAAUUAUUGGGCGUAAAGCGCGUGUAGGCGGCUUUGCAAGUCGGGUGUGAAAGCCCUCAGCUUAACUGAGGAAGUGCGCCCGAAACUGCUUGGCUUGAGUACCGGAGAGGAUGGCGGAAUUCCCCAAGUAGAGGUGAAAUUCGUAGAUAUGGGGAGGAACACCGGUGGCGAAGGCGGCCAUCUGGACGGAUACUGACGCUGAGACGCGAAAGCGUGGGUAGCAAACAGGAUUAGAUACCCGCGUAGUCC